Molecule: unclassified non-coding RNA, 403 nt
Filed under: soil metagenome
Description: partial contains 5.8S ribosomal RNA, internal transcribed spacer 2, and large subunit ribosomal RNA
Rfam family: 5.8S ribosomal RNA (bases 1-120)
Source: RNAcentral
GAUGAAGAACGUAGCGAAAUGCGAUAAGUAAUGUGAAUUGCAGAAUUCAGUGAAUCAUCGAAUCUUUGAACGCACCUUGCGCUCCUUGGUACUCCGAGGAGCAUGCCUGUUUGAGCGUCAUUAAAUUAUCAAACCUCUCCGGCUUUGCAGCCGGUCUGGAUUUGGAUGUGGGGGGGUCAUUCCUGCAGGCUCUCGCACUGCUCCCCUGAAAUGCAUUAGCGGUACCUUUCUUGCAGUGUACGGCUGUUGGUGUGAUAACUAUCUACGCCAUCUGGCCAGCUGCGACUCGUGCAAAGGCAGAGCUGCUCACAACCGUCCAUUUGAUUGGACAAAUCAUGACGAAUUUUGACCUCAAAUCAGGUAGGACUACCCGCUGAACUUAAGCAUAUCAAUAAGCGGAGGA